Molecule: long non-coding RNA, 858 nt
Filed under: Corvus moneduloides (New Caledonian crow)
Lineage: Eukaryota; Metazoa; Chordata; Aves; Passeriformes; Corvidae
Description: lncRNA (ENSCMUG00000019162.1)
Source: RNAcentral
CAGAGAGGUAUAAUGCAUAUGUAGAUUUAUUUUUCUUACUCAUGGAGGUGCAGGUGGUGAAAUGAGGCAGCAAGGCUGAAAUAGCGGAAGGGCUCCAUUCUUAUGUACAGUGUGCAUGAAGCGUGGUGCUGUGAGGGAGCACACGGACUUGCUCUGGGCAUGUAACACAGCUGCAAGAAUUAGCAGCUUAUGCAGUAUGUGUAGUGCAACCCCUUGGGCUCUGAAUUGCCUGCUUCAGGCAGGUGUUGUGAGUAUCUGCUCAGUGUACAGGAACCCUGCAAUGCAAGGUUCAGUCAUAGCAGAGUUACAUGCCUAAAACAGACAGUGUAGAUGUAUUCCCUCGCAUCACAUGGGGAUGCAUGUGUAGCUUAUUAAAUAAGGAUGCUAACCUGUCUGGUAGUGAAUUUAGAGGAGCUGAAGAUGGUCCCUUUUAUUUUUCCAGAUCUGCAGCCUUCCAAGAUGAGCUGAUCUUGGAUUCUGAACUUGAAGCAAUUCUUCAAGACUAUAUGCUUCCUGAAACUCAAAAACUAUCUGCAAUAAAUAGGUAUGUGUAAUGGAUACAUUCAUGCUUUGUAUUGUAUGGUUUGGAGCAUGUGAGUUUUGUUGACAGUUUAAUGCUGAGCUUCUUACAGCUCUUGAUAAAUCUUAGUUGCUGUGAAUGGGACAGUGUGAUGGACCUUUGCAAGGUGAAUUUUCAAUAACACGUGGUUCUUGUAGGACAGAAAUUGGGAAGGGUAUGAUGUUCACAGUUGCUCAGAGAUAAAUGUUUAGCCAAACCCACAAACUUAACUUCAGAGUGAACAAAAAGGUGAGUCUCCACAAACAAGUAAGAAGUUUUGAAGAUAAAAUCAGUGAGAG